Molecule: long non-coding RNA, 2029 nt
Organism: Hirundo rustica (Barn swallow)
Lineage: Eukaryota; Metazoa; Chordata; Aves; Passeriformes; Hirundinidae
Exons: 6
Source: RefSeq, a predicted model, not a curated record
GUGUCUUUGGUGUGUGGUGGUGGUUUCCUUCCCUGGGCUGUUUAACGAGGUAUUUGUGCAGAGUUAAUUCCUCCUGCUGCUUUACCUUCAGUCCAGCAUGCUUGCCUCAAGGCACUCAGGCAGCCCCUGGUUCUGUGCUCUGUGUUUGGCUGGUCAGCGUUCUUCUGCCAGGUGGUCCCCUCCUGCAGUUAAUUGCCUGCCUGGGUUAAAGGUCACUUGUAAGGGUAGGACAAGAGCUGAGGCAGAGCUUGUUGGGACCCUGACAGACGAGGGAGAAGCAGCAAAUGGAGUUGGAAAAGUAUUGUCCUUUCUGUACCUGAGAAGCUGGACAAGACCAUGGAAUCAGACCCGUGGUCUUGUUGGGGAGUCCACAGUCCAAGGGAACUCCUGGAUUGCUCCUGAAGCCCUGGCCAGGCUUGGGGCCCAAUCCACGAGGAAGCCGAGCCCGGCUGUUGCCGUACUGGACGUUGUGUCAGCCUGUUGCUGGCACCCGAUUGUCCGAGCUGGGCCCUGUCCCAGCAGAGCUGUAAGUCUCUUUGCCUGCAGGUGGAUGCGCCUGUGGGAAGUCCCGGUUAUGGGAGAGGCUCUCCUGUGCUUGGCUGGGACAGGGGAUUCCCAGCUCGCGGGCUGUGGCUCUGGAGGAUGGUGAAGUCUCAGGGUCCCUGGUUGCUGUGUCUCAGUCCCUGUGGUGCUGCUGUCUUUGGUAGCAGUGGUGAGGGGCAUUGCAGGGCUUUGUUGUUUGGAGUUCUUUGCUGCUUUGAGCUCUGGUCGAUGAGGCUGGAUUCCUGAAGCUGGUGUCUGUGUCUUUGCUGCUGCCCCUGCCCCCUGGCCAAACAAACCUGCAAGGAUUUAAGGUUUUAGGCCUGGUAUUCCCUUUGGUGAGCUUCCUCCCAGCCCUGAUGUACUCCUGGAAGUGCCAUGGAGGUGUUCUCCUCUCAGGACUGAGGAGCUGUAGGCUGGGUGCUGCUUCUGUUCUGCCCUGGGAACCCUUGGGCUUGGAGAGAAGCCUGAAGAUGGGCUGGGGAGACAUGAUCUGGGAUAUUCCCCCCUCCUGAUGUUUGGUACCAGUGCAGUAGGAAAGUCCAGGUUUCCAUCUAGCUCAGGAUUUCUUGGUCAUGGGACCAAAACUCUGGGAGAUGCUGGAGUUUGAGGGGGUAUUGUGCUAGCUCUGAUGUAGAGCUGCCUCCUGUCAUGAAGUAAACAGCACUUGCUGCAACUGGCAGACUUCUGUUUGUUUCCCUCAGAGCAUUUAGAGGGCUCUGUAGCUGCUGGGCUGUUCCCAACAGGUGCAAGGUCCUUGUCUGUGCAGUGUAAUGAAUCGUAUUCCACUGAGACUUGAAUGAGCCUCCAGGAAUUUGUGAGCUGAUGAAGGGAUUUCUGAGCCAAAGUUCCUGACCUGAAUAAGGUUGGCAGCUCUAGUGGACACACUGAUUCCUGGUAAUUGUGCCCUUCUGGCUGUGGAGCACCUUGGGGAAGCAGUGGCCUGAAGCUGUUCUUGUGUCUGGCAGUUGCAGGGCACGCUUGGAUCUCUGCUGCAGCUGUUCUGGUGAUCCGUGCUGUGCUUGAGGGAGAGAUCUUGGCUGUGGCUGUGUCCUGCCUGCCUCGGCUGGCAAAUGCUGCGGUUGUGGUUGGCGCGUGGCUGUGGGGAUCCUGGGGACAGUACCCUGGAGCGAGUGCAGUGAUUCCUGAGGAUGAAGAGAGGCUUGGCAUGAGGUGAAGAGACUUGGAGCCACCAUUUUCUCAGAAUGACACUUCUGCUGAAAGGUUUGUCUAAUGCUUGGUGCUUUUGUCCCCCUGGGCUGAGUUCCCUGUUUUGAAUGCAGGAUGGACUUCUGGGGCCUUACACCCAAAGGCAAGCCAAUACCUUCUAGUCUGUGGGAUCACGUCUUCUGGUUUUUUUCUGCUUCCUUUUGUGUGUCAAAACUGGUUGUUGUUUUUGUGCUUUGUACUUAAGGAUGCACGGGAGCUCCUUUGACCCUUCCACACGAAGCAGUCCAAGUGCCCUGUAGUUAAUUGGAUUAGGUGUUGA